RNAcentral lists this ribosomal RNA (531 nucleotides) under uncultured bacterium. RNAcentral describes it as "partial 16S ribosomal RNA". It matches the Rfam family "Bacterial small subunit ribosomal RNA", at positions 355 to 878 of the family's 1533-position model. The record is from RNAcentral.
UGGGGAAUUUUGGACAAUGGGCGAAAGCCUGAUCCAGCAAUGCCGCGUGUGUGAAGAAGGCCUUCGGGUUGUAAAGCACUUUUGUCCGGAAAGAAAUCCUCUGGGUUAAUACCUCGGGGGGAUGACGGUACCGGAAGAAUAAGCACCGGCUAACUACGUGCCAGCAGCCGCGGUAAUACGUAGGGUGCAAGCGUUAAUCGGAAUUACUGGGCGUAAAGCGUGCGCAGGCGGUUUUGUAAGACGGAUGUGAAAUCCCCGGGCUUAACCUGGGAACUGCAUUCGUGACUGCAAGGCUAGAGUAUGGCAGAGGGGGGUUAGAAUUCCACGUGUAGCAGUGAAAUGCGUAGAGAUGUGGAGGAAUACCGAUGGCGAAGGCAGCCCCCUGGGCCAAUACUGACGCUCAUGCACGAAAGCGUGGGGAGCAAACAGGAUUAGAUACCCUGGUAGUCCACGCCCUAAACGAUGUCAACUAGUUGUUGGGGAUUCAUUUCCUUAGUAACGUAGCUAACGCGUGAAGUUGACCGCCUGGGG